GACGAACGCUGGCGGCGUGCCUAAUACAUGCAAGUAGAACGCACAGUUUAUACCGUAGCUUGCUACACCAUAGACUGUGAGUUGCGAACGGGUGAGUAACGCGUAGGUAACCUGCCUGGUAGCGGGGGAUAACUAUUGGAAACGAUAGCUAAUACCGCAUAAUAUUAAUUAUUGCAUGAUAAUUAAUUGAAAGGUGCAAUUGCACCACUACCAGAUGGACCUGCGUUGUAUUAGCUAGUAGGUGAGGUAACGGCUCACCUAGGCGACGAUACAUAGCCGACCUGAGAGGGUGAUCGGCCACACUGGGACUGAGACACGGCCCAGACUCCUACGGGAGGCAGCAGUAGGGAAUCUUCGGCAAUGGACGAAAGUCUGACCGAGCAACGCCGCGUGAGUGAAGAAGGUUUUCGGAUCGUAAGGCUCUGUUGUAAGAGAAGAACGGGUGUGAGAG
This 451-nucleotide ribosomal RNA is filed under the name Streptococcus gordonii. RNAcentral's name for it is "bacterial SSU rRNA". It matches the Rfam family "Bacterial small subunit ribosomal RNA", at positions 28 to 461 of the family's 1533-position model. Lineage: Bacteria; Bacillati; Bacillota; Bacilli; Lactobacillales; Streptococcaceae. The record is from RNAcentral.